RNAcentral lists this long non-coding RNA (1749 nucleotides) under Homo sapiens (human). RNAcentral's name for it is "non-protein coding lnc-SPATA19-7:1". Lineage: Eukaryota; Metazoa; Chordata; Mammalia; Primates; Hominidae. The record is from RNAcentral.
GAAAGGGGGAGUGGGGGAGGGCAGAGCCUGUGGUUGGUAUUUCAGCUACCGGCAAAGCCCUCCUCAAAUCAAACCCUCCAUGGAAGGCGGGUAUUAGCAGGGUGGCUGAGGGGCACCUGCAAUGCGGAGAUUAAUCCCCUUUUUGUUUUCUUUCGGGUCUAUCUCAGCACUGCUGAGUGGAAGAAUUUAUGUUGGCCUCCUUCCUAGAAGGAAGCUGCAGGCUCAGAAAAGAGGAUGUGUCAUCAGAUGUCACCUCUCAGGGUGCCUCUGUUGCUAUCUGUCUGUCGCUCUGCCCCUCCCUAGGUCUCUGCCCCUCCCUGCCAAUCAGUUCUACCUUCCUUUCACUCCUCAGAGUUUUAUUUCUGUGGCUCGAAUUCUGAUUUCGUACCAGAGGAAGACAACAACAGCUCUAUUACCAGGUCCCCUGCUCCUCUCCAAUGUGCCCCAGACAGGUAUUCGGCGACCAGAGGAGAGCUGAGCUGGGCUUUGAUCACACUCUGCCUCUGCAUCCGCGGAGCUUGCUGGGCCAUGCAGAUGUCUUCUGCAAGUGAGCUAAGGCCAUGGAAAAGAUCCCUCGGGGGCCAUUUGAGAUGUAGCUCACAGUGGCCUUCAACAUUUUUAUUUAAGCUGUGGAGUCAUUUUCUGGAAAAUAAAAUAUCAUUGACAACCUCACUAUGUGAAAUGGAUAGCGUGCUCUUAUUGUACAGGGGUGAGAAGAGGAUAGAGGAGGCCUGAAGUUAGCCCACUGAGCCCUCCACUUCCCAGGACCCUGAGGCCACUGAGCACAGGCCCUUGUGCAGCCCUGCUCCCGGACCCACCGUGACUGUGAUGUCCUGGAGGAAUAAGUGCCCUCCUUCCAUUCAUACAAAGGUUCCCAACUGGCUACCAAAGGCUAUGGCCAGUCCCUGGAAGGCAUGCUGUUUCCACCAGGAUCCUGAAAUCCCAGGUUCUCAAAUAGGGUCCUACAUUUUCACCAAGGAGCUGCACACUUUCCCAGUGUAUAUGUGACUAUUCGUCGCCAGCAUGUGCACGGGACCAUUUUGGUGUGUGAUUUUUUCAUAUACUUUCCAGGGUGUUUAUGACUAGGGUGCAAUUUUAGAAAUGAGAGCUUUGGUAGCAAGGUCCUGACCAUCCCAGAGAAGGAUUUUGGCAAAAAAUAGUAGUUGCUAGUUAUUUACUCUUCCUCUUUUUGCUAGAUCAGGUGGCAGAAAAGAUGAGUUAUUGUCUUACUAUCUUAUCUUCCCCAGUAUUUCAUUUCCCAAUACUGAAGACAGUGGAGGCAUUUUGGACCUAAGAACCAGUGUUUCAGAAGAUGGCAUUUACCCUACAAUGGCCGUGCCCAAGGUAAACUCUGGGCUUUGGGCUGCAUGGCCCCAAUCCAGAGAACAGAGGGACUAUUCCUGGCUCCUUCCUGAGCUGCUCUAACAUCCUGCCCGACUGAGCCCAGUUAUGCUUCAUUUACAAGAAGAGGCCGCGUUAGCUCCUGGCUCAUGUGGAGUUAAAUAGAGAUGAGAUGUAACACUUUUUUUCUAACAGCACAAAACUCCUUCCUGAAGAGUCACCUUGAAGAGAGAUGGUUUCUUGUGCAGAAUCGCAGUCUGGGCAAUUAAGUCAGAGAACUCUGAGUUUAUAUGCUGUGCGUUUUCAUUGACUGACUCUGUGGCUUUUUGGAGAAUUACAUUUCCUCUCUGAUAUUGUUAAUUGAUGAAGUCUCACAACUUCACUAGGGAAUAAACUUAUGCUGACAAG